CAGGGUUGUCCAUCAGGACUCCAGAAAGAGCUUAGCGGCACAGCCAGAGAGGGACCCAGAGGAGUAUUUAGGCAGCUGCCGAGGCCUCCGUCCCAGCCCUGGUAUCAUCCCCCCAUCAGGCACUCCUUGAAGUGGUUUUAUAAGACAUGACGAGGGAGCCCAGGCCGAAAGUGAUCAGCGGGCGACGCACAUCUGAAACCCAUUUCCCACAAUUAAAGGGGAGAGACUAUCAGCUCUAAACAUCGCCUGUUUCCACGACUUCUCAUUCAAAUGUCCCCAAAUCUGAUGAAGAAAUAAACUCAUCUACAUCUUGGAUGGCCUGAGGGUGAGAAACAUUUCAGCAAAUUCUAAUUUUGGGUGAAUUAUUGCUUUAAGCGACUAAACAGUGAUUGCAGGAUAUGUAGGACAACAGAAAACCCUGCCACUGUCUACAUGUGCAGGUGAAAAACAGUUUUGUUCUAGUUGGUUGAAGCACUAAGCACAUGGCUUAGAAUAAUUACCUCCUGUUUACUGAUGAAAGCAGCUCACAGUACAGUGACUUGGAAAAGAGGCAGAGUAAUCCUCAGAGUGUUUUACAGUAGACUAUAAUUGCUUGCUUACUGUGAA
Long non-coding RNA from Cyprinus carpio carpio, 606 nucleotides. Lineage: Eukaryota; Metazoa; Chordata; Actinopteri; Cypriniformes; Cyprinidae. The record is from Ensembl.